This 72-nucleotide transfer RNA is filed under the name Haemonchus contortus (barber pole worm). RNAcentral's name for it is "tRNA, Ser". It matches the Rfam family "tRNA". From Rfam's summary of the family: Transfer RNA (tRNA) molecules are approximately 80 nucleotides in length. Their secondary structure includes four short double-helical elements and three loops (D, anti-codon, and T loops). Lineage: Eukaryota; Metazoa; Nematoda; Chromadorea; Rhabditida; Trichostrongylidae. The record is from RNAcentral.
GUCUCGGUAGCAUAAGGGUAAGAGCACGGUCCCUGGAGAGGAUAAUUACGGGUUCGAGUCCCGUCCGAGACU